AAACCAGCAGGUCAAGAUGCAAAACUACCCUGGAAGUACUGCACUGAGCUUGGUUUUUCCAACUUGAAUUCUGAGUCAAGGAUAGACAUGAUGAAGCAAGAGAGGAUGCAGUGGGCAGGCGUUCCUUUUCACAAGAUGUUCAUAAUCUCAAGCGACUACAAAAGAGUCUGGACAACCACCUUAGUCAGAGAUAUCUCCUCUGUUCAGUGCUGGAAUAUUCAGGGGAGCCAGGAACCAACUUUUUCUACUAGUCACUUGGAGGAGAAGAGGUUUCUAACGUGCUCAAAAAUACUGGAGUAUUUUUUUUACUAUAAAAUUGUUCUUCUAUAGAUAUUUUCUUCCUGUAAAUAUCCCUUUUUAUAGGCAGACAGAAAUAUGCAAUAAUCUUUAUGGUCCUAGAAAGAAAUAGUGUA
Molecule: non-coding RNA, 413 nt
Organism: Taeniopygia guttata (zebra finch)
Lineage: Eukaryota; Metazoa; Chordata; Aves; Passeriformes; Estrildidae
Source: RefSeq, a predicted model, not a curated record